GACAGAUAAGAAAUAGAUAACAGAUCGAUAUCGAAAUAGAUAUAUUUCUAAUAUGCGAUACUUUUUCUUCAAAUGUGAAAAUAAAAAAGAAGACAGAAAUGUAGUAUCAAAUUUCUCUCUGAAAGUAUUAAAAUAUAACUAAAUCAAUAUCUGUCUUUUAAUUGGUAUAAGGCAUUAUAUGUGUAAAUCAUUUUGCACAGUGUAUUUUACGGUAAAAAUCAAUAUUCUACAGAGGAAUCGUAUUCAACAGUAUAAAACGAAUAAAAGAUGAUUUAUACGAAUACUGAAACUUUAGAAAGAAUAUGUAAUUCAAUAAUUUUUUAGAAAUUAUAAUAUUUGACAAUAUGUCCUAUUGUAUAUAAGGAAAUGUUUUAUUAUUAUAAGUAUUGUAAUUUAUGUAAUUACUAUUUACUAUACUGAUAGAAUAAUAAAUACAGUAUAGUAUCUGCAUUUAAAACAUUGCAUUUAUACACAUGUUAUUUUGAAGCAAAUGCAUAUAUAUGGCUGAUUAAACAUUUACUGUCCUCAUGUGAUCAUAGCACGUGAUCAUUGCUAAAAAGAUUCUAAUAAUUUCUUUGUUCACAGGAGUAGAAUUCCGUAAAUGUAUAACACAACAGUAAUAUUAGGAAGAAGCUACCGGAACACAUUCUUAGUAUCAAAAAUGUCUAGCGCAAUACAAAAUAAUUCUGUAGAAUUUUCUAUAAAAAAAAAAUUGACAGAUUCUUUAAAUCCAUCUUAUAUUGAAAUUAUAAAUGAGUCAUAUAUGCACAAUGUUCCUAAAGGAUCUGAAACACACUUUAAAGUAAUUGUUGUUUCUGAUAAGUUCAAAGAUAUACCAUUAAUUAAGCGCCACCGAAUGAUAAAUAAGUUAUUGCAAUCAGAGUUAGAAGGUGGCGUGCAUGCAUUAUCAAUUAUAGCCAAAACACUUGAUCAAUGGAAAGAGAAAAGUACUAUAACUCCAAGUCCAGCUUGUAGAGGGGGUUUUGGAAAAUGAACUUUUGAAAUUUAAACAUUGCAUAUUUAUAUCAAAAAGGAUAUCUGUUUAUACCAAUAUUCGAACUUCAAAUCGCGUACACGUAAUAUCUUCGUAUUAGAUGUGUUUUCUGAGGUUCUAAUUUAUGUGAUAAUUGUAUGCAAUUAAGGAAGUUAAAAUAAGAUAAAUUAAAAUAAAGUAUAUCAGCCAUGGAUUGUUCUGCUAUUGCUUCUUCUGCCCUAUCAUGCAUCUGCAAAAUACAAACGAUUUGUGAAAAAUUGUUCUGAAAAAUGCAAAGCUUAAUUUUUAUUAUUUUAUUUUGUUUUUAUCAAUAUAAUACAUACCCCUCU
Molecule: RNA transcript, 1323 nt
Organism: Bombus pascuorum
Lineage: Eukaryota; Metazoa; Arthropoda; Insecta; Hymenoptera; Apidae
Gene name: DNA-binding transcriptional regulator BolA
Exons: 5
Source: RefSeq, a predicted model, not a curated record